Molecule: non-coding RNA, 5969 nt
Organism: Misgurnus anguillicaudatus (oriental weatherfish)
Lineage: Eukaryota; Metazoa; Chordata; Actinopteri; Cypriniformes; Cobitidae
Source: RefSeq, a predicted model, not a curated record
CUUUAACAAGAGUGUAUAUGAAAUCUUUCACUUCUCAAACACAAACUGGACUUUUUCAUGGUUGAUCACAAGUCAGAUAUGAAGAUGUUUUGUGUUCAACUGUUUGUUUUGAUUUGUUUGUAUGCUGCAGUACAGCCGUCCAGUCAAACAGAUGGCAGCUCUUUUCUCAUCUACAAUGAGGAUCACAACAGAUGUGUGAAUGUCAUUAAUGCCAAUGUUGUACAGACGGCACCGUGUGAUGUAUCUUCUGACGCUCAGCGUUUCCGAUGGGUUUCUUCUUCAAGAAUUAUCAGCGUCUCUCUUAAACUCUGUUUGGGAGCUCAAAACGUUAAAGACUCUGAGAAAGUGAUUCUUCUGCCCUGUAAAGAGCUCAGUCCUCUACAGACCUGGGAAUGUAAGAAUGAGACCUUGUUUGGCUUAAAGGGACAACCGUUACAUCUGAACUACGGCCAUCGAGCGGACCAAAAUAUGAUGCUGUUUAAGGGAAAUGGAUCUUGGAGUCGCUGGCAGAUUUAUGGGACUACAGACAAUCUGUGUUCUCAUGGAUAUCAAGAGAUUUAUACUCUGGGUGGGAAUUCAUUUGGAAAGCCAUGUCAGUUUCCCUUUAAGUUUAAUGACAAGUGGUAUGCUGAGUGCACCAUGGACGGAAAAUCAGAUGGCAAACUGUGGUGUUCAACUGAGACAGAUUAUGAUGCAGACAAGAAGUGGGGCCUCUGUCCAGCCAAAAACGUCUCAGGAUGGGACAGUGAUCCAGUAACUGGUGUAUUAUAUCAGAGAAACACACAAUCAGCACUGACCUGGCAUCAAGCUCGAGCCAGCUGUCAACAACAAGAUGCAGAUCUUCUCAGUAUAUCAGAACUACAUGAACAGUCUUAUAUAUCAGGCUUGACAGAUCUCUUGGGUUCAGCUUUAUGGAUCGGACUCAACAGUCUUGACUUUGAGAGUGGAUGGCAAUGGAGUAAUGGAAACCCAUUCAGAUAUCUCAACUGGGCUCCUGGUCAUCCCUCUCUGGAGCCGGGCCUUAACUGUGCUGCAUUAAACGCUGGUAAAGCAUCCAAGUGGGAAAGUUUGGCCUGCAAUAAGAAGUUAGGUUACAUUUGCCGCAAGGGAAAUUCAACAGAUAUCACACCUUCAACAGGGAAAGAUCAGCCUAACUUCUGUCCAGUGGCAUGGGUGCCGUACGCCGGUCACUGUUAUUAUUUGCAGCGCACCAAGAAGACGUGGAGUGAUGCUUUGGCUGAGUGUCACAGAGAAGGAUCAGAUCUGGCCAGCAUUCACAACAUAGAAGAACACAGUUUCAUCAUAUCACAGACUGGAUACAUGUCGACUGAUGAGCUCUGGAUUGGUCUUAAUGAUCAAAGGAUUCAGAAUCUGUUUGAGUGGUCAGAUAGAUCACACGUCACCUUCACUAAAUGGUUUGUUGGAGAACCUUCACACAUCACAAAUCGAAUGGAGGAUUGUGUUCUUAUCAGAGGACAGGAGGGAAAGUGGUCAGAUCAUCUGUGUGAGUCAGCUCAUGGUUUCAUCUGUAAGAAGAAAGCUUCCAUUAAACCUGAAGGAUCUCCAGAGGUCAUCAGUCCUGGAUGUCCAGCUGGUUGGUUUAGGUUUGGCUAUUACUGUUAUAAUGUUGCCAUGGAAACCAAAACUUUUGAGGAUGCCAAACUGACGUGUGAGCAGACCGCAGCUAACCUGGUUGAUAUUGGCAGCAGAUAUGAGAGUGCGUUUCUCAUCAGUCUGGUUGGUCUUCGACAUGAGAAAUAUUUCUGGAUUGGUUUGUCUAAUACUCAUCAGAAUGAGCGAUUCCAGUGGAUCAAUGGUGCUAAAGUCAAGUUUACACACUUUAAUGUAGGCAUGCCAGAUAAGCACCGAGGUUGUGUAGCAAUGUUAACAGGAACUUCAGCAGGAUUAUGGGAUGUAUUGGCAUGUAACACUAAACAGAAAUACAUCUGUAAGAAAAUGGCAGAAGGAGUCACGACAACCCGAGAGCCUCCGACCACACGACCUCCCAGCUGCGCGGAUAAUUGGAUUAAAAAAGAUCCAGGAAGUUGUAUUCAGAUCUAUAGAAUGACAAAGGAUAAGAAGAAGACGUGGUUUGAAGCGCGUGACUUCUGUCGAGCUGUUGGUGGUGAUUUAGCGAGCUUUCAUUCAGAAGAUGAAAUGAAUGUGUUACCGGUUUUCACUUCAUACCCAACGUGGAUUGGCUUCACUUCAUUGGACAGUAAUUCUGGUUUUGUGUGGUCAGAUCAAACUCCUUCCGAUUAUCAGAACUGGGCCUCUGGUGAACCAAACAACUACAACAAUAAUGAGAACUGUGCUGAAUAUGGCAGUAAUUAUGGACGCAAGUGGAAUAAUCGGGAUUGUGAUACUUAUAUGGACUGGAUCUGUCAGAUUCCAAUAGGCACACAUCCAAAAUCCCCAUCAACAUCAGUCAUUCAAGAAUUUAACAAGACGUCUGAUGGCUGGAUUCAGUACAAUGGCAGUCAGUAUUUCAUUAAUAAGGAACGGCACCCUAUGGAAGAAGCUCGUGACUUUUGUAAGAAGAAUCAUGCUGAUCUUGUUGUCAUUAAUGGUCAGACUGAGAGGAGGUUUUUAUGGAAGCAGAUAUCUAGAAGUGAAGGAUCACAAGCUCAGUACUACAUUGGGAUGACUGUAGAGUUGGACAAAUCAUUUAGUUGGGUGGACGGUUCACCUGUUGUAUACACUGCAUGGGAACGAAAUGAACCAAAUUUUGCCAACAAUGAUGAGAACUGUGUGACCGUUUUCAAAAGCACAGGACUCUGGAAUGAUAUUAAUUGUGGUUAUUCAUUACCCUCGAUCUGUAAAAGAAGUGAUGAUUUUGUCAACACCACCAUGUCUCCAACCACUGUACCAGCGGGCGGCUGCGCUCCUGAAUGGACUCUGUUCAGAGGAAAAUGUUACAAAUUUUUUGAUAAUAAGAUGUCAUGGCAAAAAUCAAGAGAUCACUGCAUUUCAAAUGGAGGCAAUCUGGUGUCCGUUCGGAGUCACACAGAGCAAUUUUUUCUCACAACUUUAAUGCUUAGUGCUGUUGAUGACGUGUGGAUCGGUUUAAAUGACAUUGCCUCAGAGAGAAACUUUAUGUGGACCGACAAUCGAGCUGUCAGAUACACAAACUGGCUUAAAGGUCAACCUUCAUCAAGUUUACAGUCAAGACACUUUUUUGACGAAGACUAUGAUGAGAUGGACGAAGACUAUUUUGAGAUGGAAGUAUUUGAGUUGGGACCUAUGCACCAUCAAUCUGCACACCAUACAAUUGAAUAUAUGAACUAUGACUGUGUUGUGAUGGUUAAACACCCAGAGAAGUCCACUGGUAUGUGGAAAGUUGAAGACUGUAAAGAUGAGAGAGGUUUCAUCUGCAAGAGGAACACAGACUCUCAGCUGUCCGCUCCCGUGACCAAAGCAGUACCACAUAAAUACUUCAGUCUGGGCAAUGAUUCAUAUAAGCUCCAGCUGGAGAAGAUGAGCUGGGAUGAAGCGAGAAGACAGUGUAAAGCUGAUGAUGCUGAUCUUGCGAGUGUACUGGACUCCAUCAGUCAGGCGUACACAAGCCUACAAGUCGACAAACUUAAAGAACCUUUGUGGAUCGGACUCAACAGUGAACUGACAGGUGGACGCUAUCGCUGGGUGGAUAACUGGCUUCUAAGCUACAGUAAAUGGGCUACAGGAGAACCCAAAAACAAUUUAGCUUGUGUUUAUAUUGACACGGAUGGAGACUGGAAAACUGCAGCGUGUAUCAACACAUAUUAUUCCCUCUGUAAACGAUCAACAGUUUUUGUCCCUACAGAUCCUCCUCAGCUGCCGGGUAACUGCCCCGAAUCAGAUCAGACGAAAAGUUGGAUCCCGUUUAGAGGACACUGCUAUACGUUCAUGACCUCCAUGAGUGACAUCUGGGCUCAUGCCACAGUAGAAUGUAUGAGAAUGGGUGCAUCUUUAGUGAGUAUUGAGGAUCCAAUAGAAUCACAGUUUAUUCGACAAAACCUGGAGAUCCUGCAGGAUGAAGUCAAGUCAGUCUGGAUUGGACUUCACCGCAGUCAUAUGGGUGAUUGGAUGUGGAUUGAUAAUACGGUUGUGGAUUACACGAACUGGAAACCGCGGAUGCCGGAUGAUGUUAAAAUUUGUGUUGAAGUUCAGUCAGACACUGGGAUGUGGAGCACCAACAACUGUGAUGAUCAGAGAGGUUAUAUCUGCAAGACUGCUAAAGUUAUACCACCAACAGAGAAGCCAUCAGUCUCAGUUACACCAACAACAGCGAAGUACUCAGUCCCAGAUCCUCAGGUAUAUGACAAGUCUCACGUAUCGGCUGGCAUCGCUGUAGGGGUCAUGUUGGUCAUAAUCGCUGUCGCAGGUCUUGCCGGGUUUCUGUUCUUUAAGAGAAAUCCCAGGACUCUGAUUGGAUGGUUUGACAGCAAAUUCUAUAAUAACCUCCCCGAGCCUAUUACAGUUUUUGAUAGCAAAGAACCUGCUGCCAACUGAACAGAAUCAAGAUGAAUAACACAUAAACACACACACACACACACACACACACACACACAGUCUUUAGUUUGAAUGUAAUGCGUAUCUUCCACAAUAAUUAUGUUCAAGGGUCUCAUGCACCAAAAUGUUUUACAAGGGGAACAGCUUAAAGUAUUUAAACUAUUAAGUCUGUCAUUGGUUGUGACUUGUAAGAAUCAAUACCAUUGAGUGUCAAUGAUGUCACACUUAGCUGAUAAACAAAUGAGUGAUGUUUGUAAAUACAGAUGUAAAUGGAAUUUUGCCUGAUUGACAAAGUCACAUAAAGCAGUCAUACAACAUCAGAAGAUUUGUAGGUGAUUUUCAUUUUCUAACUUUAAUUGAAGAACAACCAGAUGAGGCUGUAUAAGACUGCAUAAUUAUUAAUUGCAACUAAUCAAUUGCAGAAUAAAAGUUUUUGUAUACAUCAUAUAUGUUUGUUUACUGUGUAUAAUAAUUAAGCAAUAUCGCUCGAGUAGGAGUGUGAUAUAGCUCUAUAUCAUCACGGCUGUGAUUAGGCCAGAGGCACGAGGCCGUAGGCUCCGAGAGCGAUAUUGCUUUUAGGCUAUGUCCACACGAAGCCGUUGCAUUCCCUAUCCAAUCUUUUUUUUCCCUGGUUGUAAAAAAAAAUCCGUAAACACGGCGUCGUAUCAAGAAAUAUCUCCGCACACACGAAACCACUGAAACCGACUGAAAGCGGUGUAGUAUAUAUGCCAGACCAGUAUGGGGCGCUGUAAUUAUGCUACAGAUAUACACUAUACACGGAGAAGAAGACUUUGAGCAUGCGCAUAACUUUACGCGCUGUAUGCGAACGCUACAACAACUUCAAGAGCAAGAGCGGAGUCUUUCUUAUGGACUGACGACGAAGUCCAACUACUACUUAGAGUCACACUCGACUACAAGUCCACUAAGCUCCAACAAAACAUUGACUGGGAGUCGUGUCAAUCUAAAUAUUGUGAUAUAACGGACGCGUUUCAGGCACAGUAUCCGAGGGAGCUAACCGAGAAGGAUUUCCCUCACGAUGCUAGCAUGGUCUCAAAAGCCCAAGUCACCGCAAAGUUGAAAAAUAUACGCAGCAAAUACAGGCAUGCGGUUGACACAGGGCGUCGAAGUGGUCACGGACGGGUAGUACUCAUAUUUUAUGAGCUUUGCGAGGAGAUCUGGGGUGGGUCGCCUGCUACACGCUCCAUCGACACCGGCAUCGAGACAGGUGACCUGGAAGAGUCGUCGACAUCGACAGUGGAGCUGUCUUCCGAUUCUCCAAACUCCACUGAAUCCCUCGACUGUCUUCCAUCUGCGGUUGUAAAGCAGCGCCGGGAUUUGCUCCAGGCAAAGUUGAACAGCCAUAGAGGAGACAGGCUGAAGAGGAAGGUUUCCACCGAUCCGGCAGAGGAGGACCUUAAAGUAAAGAGGAGGAUGUUAGAGUUGAUGGAGGAGUCUUCUAAACGCAACUCCGACAACAU